This 253-nucleotide ribosomal RNA is filed under the name uncultured bacterium. Its description in RNAcentral is "partial 16S ribosomal RNA". It matches the Rfam family "Bacterial small subunit ribosomal RNA", at positions 524 to 776 of the family's 1533-position model. The record is from RNAcentral.
GACGGAGGGCGCGAGCGUUGUUCGGAAUCACUGGGCGUAAAGCGCGCGCAGGCGGGUUUUAAGUCUGAAGUGAAAUACCGGGGCUCAACUCCGGUGCUGCUUCGGAUACUGGGAACCUGGGGACCGGUAGAGGCCGGUGGAAUUGCGUGGUGUAGCGGUGGAAUGCGUAGAGAUCGUUUGGAACGCCAAUGGUGAAAACAGGUAACUGGGAGUGUGCCGACGCUGAGACACGAAAGCCAGGGGAGCGAACGGG